This 508-nucleotide ribosomal RNA is filed under the name uncultured bacterium. RNAcentral describes it as "partial 16S ribosomal RNA". It matches the Rfam family "Bacterial small subunit ribosomal RNA", at positions 30 to 523 of the family's 1533-position model. The record is from RNAcentral.
AUUGAACGCUGGCGGCAGGCCUAACACAUGCAAGUCGAGCGGCAGCGGGAAAGUAGCUUGCUACUUUUGCCGGCGAGCGGCGGACGGGUGAGUAAUGCCUGGGGAUCUGCCCAGUCGAGGGGGAUAACUACUGGAAACGGUAGCUAAUACCGCAUACGCCCUACGGGGGAAAGCAGGGGACCUUCCGGCCUUGCGCGGUUGGAUGAACCCAGGUGGGAUUAGCUAGUUGGUGAGGUAAUGGCUCACCAAGGCGACGAUCCCUAGCUGGUCUGAGAGGAUGAUCAGCCACACUGGAACUGAGACACGGUCCAGACUCCUACGGGAGGCAGCAGUGGGGAAUAUUGCACAAUGGGGGAAACCCUGAUGCAGCCAUGCCGCGUGUGUGAAGAAGGCCUUCGGGUUGUAAAGCACUUUCAGCGAGGAGGAAAGGUUGGUAGCUAAUAACUGCCAGCUGUGACGUUACUCGCAGAAGAUGCACCGGCUAACUCCGUGCCAGCAGCCGCCGUAA